This 992-nucleotide ribosomal RNA is filed under the name Arthrobacter globiformis. RNAcentral's name for it is "bacterial SSU rRNA". It matches the Rfam family "Bacterial small subunit ribosomal RNA", at positions 265 to 1263 of the family's 1533-position model. Lineage: Bacteria; Bacillati; Actinomycetota; Actinomycetes; Micrococcales; Micrococcaceae. The record is from RNAcentral.
UUACCAAGGCGACGACGGGUAGCCGGCCUGAGAGGGUGACCGGCCACACUGGGACUGAGACACGGCCCAGACUCCUACGGGAGGCAGCAGUGGGGAAUAUUGCACAAUGGGCGCAAGCCUGAUGCAGCGACGCCGCGUGAGGGAUGACGGCCUUCGGGUUGUAAACCUCUUUCAGUAGGGAAGAAGCGAAAGUGACGGUACCUGCAGAAGAAGCGCCGGGCUAACUACGUGCCAGCAGCCCGCGGUAAUACGUAGGGCGCAAGCGUUAUCCGGGAAUUAUUGGGCGUAAAGAGCUCGUAGGCGGUUUGUCGCGUCUGCCGUGAAAGUCCGGGGCUCAACUCCGGAUCUGCGGUGGGUACGGGCAGACUAGAGUGAUGUAGGGGAGACUGGAAUUCCUGGUGUAGCGGUGAAAUGCGCAGAUAUCAGGAGGAACACCGAUGGCGAAGGCAGGUCUCUGGGCAUUAACUGACGCUGAGGAGCGAAAGCAUGGGGAGCGAACAGGAUUAGAUACCCUGGUAGUCCAUGCCGUAAACGUUGGGCACUAGGUGUGGGGGACAUUCCACGUUUUCCGCGCCGUAGCUAACGCAUUAAGUGCCCCGCCUGGGGAGUACGGCCGCAAGGCUAAAACUCAAAGGAAUUGACGGGGGCCCGCACAAGCGGCGGAGCAUGCGGAUUAAUUCGAUGCAACGCGAAGAACCUUACCAAGGCUUGACAUGGACCGGACCGCCGCAGAAAUGUGGUUUCUCCUUUUGGGGCCGGUUCACAGGUGGUGCAUGGUUGUCGUCAGCUCGUGUCGUGAGAUGUUGGGUUAAGUCCCGCAACGAGCGCAACCCUCGUUCCAUGUUGCCAGCACGUGAUGGUGGGGACUCAUGGGAGACUGCCGGGGUCAACUCGGAGGAAGGUGGGGACGACGUCAAAUCAUCAUGCCCCUUAUGUCUUGGGCUUCACGCAUGCUACAAUGGCCGGUACAAAGGGUUGCGAUACUGUGAGGU